This 503-nucleotide ribosomal RNA is filed under the name uncultured Aggregatibacter sp. RNAcentral describes it as "bacterial SSU rRNA". It matches the Rfam family "Bacterial small subunit ribosomal RNA", at positions 15 to 507 of the family's 1533-position model. Lineage: Bacteria; Pseudomonadati; Pseudomonadota; Gammaproteobacteria; Pasteurellales; Pasteurellaceae. The record is from RNAcentral.
UAUCCUGGCUCAGAUUGAACGCUGGCGGCAGGCUUAACACAUGCAAGUCGAACGGUAACAGGAGAAAGCUUGCUUUCUUGCUGACGAGUGGCGGACGGGUGAGUAAUGCUUGGGAAUCUGGCUUAUGGAGGGGGAUAACGACGGGAAACUGUCGCUAAUACCGCGUAGAGUCGAGAGACGAAAGUGCGGGACCGCAAGGCCGCAUGCCAUGAGAUGAGCCCAAGUGGGAUUAGGUAGUUGGUGGGGUAAAGGCCUACCAAGCCGACGAUCUCUAGCUGGUCUGAGAGGAUGACCAGCCACACCGGGACUGAGACACGGCCCGGACUCCUACGGGAGGCAGCAGUGGGGAAUAUUGCGCAAUGGGGGCAACCCUGACGCAGCCAUGCCGCGUGAAUGAAGAAGGCCUUCGGGUUGUAAAGUUCUUUCGGUGACGAGGAAGGUUGUUGUGUUAAUAGCACAACAAAUUGACGUUAAUCACAGAAGAAGCACCGGCUAACUCCGUG